GCAGCCUGAUGCAGCGACGCCGCGUGAGGGAUGACGGCCUUCGGGUUGUAAACCUCUUUCAGCAGGGACGAAGCGCAAGUGACGGUACCUGUAGAAGAAGGACCGGCCAACUACGUGCCAGCAGCCGCGGUAAUACGUAGGGUCCGAGCGUUGUCCGGAAUUACUGGGCGUAAAGAGCUCGUAGGUGGUUUGUCGCGUUGUUCGUGAAAACUCACAGCUUAACUGUGGGCGUGCGGGCGAUACGGGCAGACUUGAGUACUGCAGGGGAGACUGGAAUUCCUGGUGUAGCGGUGGAAUGCGCAGAUAUCAGGAGGAACACCGGUGGCGAAGGCGGGUCUCUGGGCAGUAACUGACGCUGAGGAGCGAAAGCGUGGGGAGCGAACAGGAUUAGAUACCCUGGUAGUCCACGCCGUAAACGGUGGGUACUAGGUGUGGGUUUCCUUCCUUGGGAUCCGUGCCGUAGCUAACGCAUUAAGUACCCCGCCUGGGGAGUACGGCCGCAAGGCUAAAACUCAAAGAAAUUGACGGGGGCCCGCACAAGCGGCGGAGCAUGUGGAUUAAUUCGAUGCAACGCGAAGAACCUUACCUGGGUUUGACAUGCACAGGACGUGCCUAGAGAUAGGUAUUCCCUUGUGGCC
This 638-nucleotide ribosomal RNA is filed under the name Mycobacterium sp. Se3Pw_3550. RNAcentral describes it as "bacterial SSU rRNA". It matches the Rfam family "Bacterial small subunit ribosomal RNA", at positions 378 to 1028 of the family's 1533-position model. The record is from RNAcentral. Lineage: Bacteria; Bacillati; Actinomycetota; Actinomycetes; Mycobacteriales; Mycobacteriaceae.